CAACAACACCAUGAAGUCCAAAGAACACACCAGACAGGUCAGGGAUAAAGUUACUGAGAAAUUUAAAGCAGGCUUAGGCUACAAAAAAUGUCCCAAGCCUUGAACAUCCCACAGAGCACUGUACGUUUUGAAAUCUACAAAGGUUUGCACUUUGAGAAUCAACUUAACCAACUGAUUCUGCAGCAGAGCAUCCCCUGUUGCUUCUCCUGGCUCCCCAGUCCCUGAGCUCCUGCUGCUGCACCCACAGGCCCACAGAGGAGGACAGCUCCAAGGCGGACCAGGGACAGGUCCCAGGACAGUCCAUCGGCGGUGGAGCUGGCCAUCCUGGAGUCCCUGAAGAGGCCACGCUAGUCUCCAACGGAGCAUUUCCUCGUCAGCCUUGUUCCUGCUCUGGAGAGCAUGCUGCCUCAGACGAGAGUAUUAGUGAAAUUUCAAAUUUAUAAAUUCGUUUUUGAAAACAGCACAGCUGUGUUAAAUUUGGAAACAUUGGACCCAAAUAAUCAGUAGUUUUCUGAUGAGGCAGCAGACUCUCCAGGGCAGAAACAAUGUUCUUAUUUUUC
This is a long non-coding RNA of Oreochromis aureus, 560 nucleotides long. NCBI's taxonomy places the organism in Eukaryota, Metazoa, Chordata, Actinopteri, Cichliformes, Cichlidae. The record is from Ensembl.